Erpetoichthys calabaricus (reedfish) is the source of this 792-nucleotide long non-coding RNA. RefSeq lists it as uncharacterized. The transcript has 4 exons. NCBI's taxonomy places the organism in Eukaryota, Metazoa, Chordata, Cladistia, Polypteriformes, Polypteridae. The record is from RefSeq and is a predicted model, not a curated record.
AGGAGCAUAUUGAAUUUUUCUCCUGGCAGAAGAAUAUUUUUCACUUCUUGAAAAAAUGAAGACUUUUCAGUUUUACAACGACUUGAAAGAAUAUCUUUUACGGGAAGAAUUUAGCAACAAUUUAAUGGUCAGAGAGCGAAGUGAAAUACGACGUGUGUCCGUGAAUUUUAUGAUUAAAGUCCAUCAUCCAUGCCCUGGCUGCUCUACAGGGUGUAUCAGGACAGGAGGCAGAAGACUUAUUUCUUGGUGGCCCAGAAUACAGUAUCAGUGAAGUGGAAGAAUUUAACUGAAAGAUAGGGCAGCAAUUAAAGAAGGAGGGAAUGCUGUGAUAUCUGUUAGAAUGGAAGAUGAUGCUACUGCCCAGUGCUUCCAGAAUCCUUCAUUUGAGUCUUGGGUCUGAAUCUACUGCGUCAUUGCCAAGUAUUCUGGGUGAUGCCCUUUGCCAUGCACCCUGGUCAAGUCUCGUGCAACUGACUGUGGUGCUGAAGAGAGAAGAUUUCUGAAGACCCUCUUGAAAUGGAGCUGCAAUUGGAUUAACACCACAACAGUAUGCUUGCUGAGAAUGUGCACAGGGGCCUGGGGAGGCUGUGACCUUGUGACCCUGAGACAUUGUUUUGUCAAGCAUCCUGACCAACUUGACCUUUUUGUGUUCUUCAACAGGGCCAUCUGACCAUCAGAUAUAUUUAAGGAGAAGGACCUUUCAAUUUUCCUCUUGUGUACUUUUUAAUUGUAUAUAUAUUUUUUCGUUUUGAUAAAGUUAUAUAUAUUUGUUAAGCAGUUUAGCAGUUUGGG